GGUGGCGUGUCCGAGUGGUCUAAGGAGAAUGCCUUGAAAGCAUUUAGGCUCUGCCUGCGUAGGUUCGAACCCUACCGCCAUCG
Non-coding RNA from Blastocladiella emersonii ATCC 22665, 83 nucleotides. Lineage: Eukaryota; Fungi; Blastocladiomycota; Blastocladiomycetes; Blastocladiales; Blastocladiaceae. The record is from the annotation of a GenBank genome assembly.